Molecule: long non-coding RNA, 331 nt
Filed under: Coturnix japonica (Japanese quail)
Lineage: Eukaryota; Metazoa; Chordata; Aves; Galliformes; Phasianidae
Description: lncRNA (ENSCJPG00005002339.1)
Source: RNAcentral
CCCAUUAGUCCAAUGUGCUCUAUAGGAUCCCUUUAGGGCCCCCUUUAAACCCCAAUGGGCCCCAUAGGAUCCAUUAGGGGCCCCCUUUAAUCCCAUGGGGCCCCAUAGGAUCCCAUUAGGGCCCCCUUUAAAACCCCAAUGGGCCCCAUAGGAUCCCAUUAGGGCCCCCUUUAAAUCCCAAUGGGCCCCAUAGGAUCCCAUUAGGGCCCCCUUUAAAUCCCAAUGGGCCCCAUAGGAUCCCAUUAGGGCCCCCUUUAAAUCCCAAUGGCCUCAUAGGAUCCCAUUAGUGCCCCAUUAAGUCCAAUGGGCCCCAUAGGAUCCCAUUAGGCCC